Molecule: ribosomal RNA, 584 nt
Filed under: proteobacterium StTD684
Lineage: Bacteria; Pseudomonadati; Pseudomonadota
Also listed under: 2 other names
Description: bacterial SSU rRNA
Rfam family: Bacterial small subunit ribosomal RNA
Source: RNAcentral
ACGGGUGAGUAAUACAUCGGAACGUGCCCAGUAGUGGGGGAUAGCCCGGCGAAAGCCGGAUUAAUACCGCAUACGACCUACGGGUGAAAGCGGGGGAUCGCAAGACCUCGCGCUAUUGGAGCGGCCGAUGUCAGAUUAGCUAGUUGGUGGGGUAAAAGCCUACCAAGGCGACGAUCUGUAGCUGGUCUGAGAGGACGACCAGCCACACUGGGACUGAGACACGGCCCAGACUCCUACGGGAGGCAGCAGUGGGGAAUUUUGGACAAUGGGCGCAAGCCUGAUCCAGCCAUGCCGCGUGCGGGAAGAAGGCCUUCGGGUUGUAAACCGCUUUUGUCAGGGAAGAAACGGCCUGAUCUAAUAAAUCGGGCUAAUGACGGUACCUGAAGAAUAAGCACCGGCUAACUACGUGCCAGCAGCCGCGGUAAUACGUAGGGUGCAAGCGUUAAUCGGAAUUACUGGGCGUAAAGCGUGCGCAGGCGGCUUUGCAAGACAGAUGUGAAAUCCCCGGGCUUAACCUGGGAACUGCAUUUGUGACUGCAUGGCUAGAGUGCGGCAGAGGGGGAUGGAAUUCCGCGUGUAGCAGU